Molecule: ribosomal RNA, 337 nt
Filed under: Caryophanaceae bacterium
Lineage: Bacteria; Bacillati; Bacillota; Bacilli; Caryophanales; Caryophanaceae
Description: bacterial SSU rRNA
Rfam family: Bacterial small subunit ribosomal RNA
Source: RNAcentral
AUGGUUGUCGUCAGCUCGUGUCGUGAGAUGUUGGGUUAAGUCCCGCAACGAGCGCAACCCUUAAUCUUAGUUGCCAUCAUUAAGUUGGGCACUCUAAGGUGACUGCCGGUGACAAACCGGAGGAAGGUGGGGAUGACGUCAAAUCAUCAUGCCCCUUAUGACCUGGGCUACACACGUGCUACAAUGGACGGUACAAAGAGUCGCUAACUCGCGAGGGUAUGCUAAUCUCAUAAAACCGUUCUCAGUUCGGAUUGUAGGCUGCAACUCGCCUACAUGAAGCCGGAAUCGCUAGUAAUCGUAGAUCAGCAUGCUACGGUGAAUACGUUCCCGGGCCUUG